This 465-nucleotide ribosomal RNA is filed under the name uncultured bacterium. Its description in RNAcentral is "partial 16S ribosomal RNA". It matches the Rfam family "Bacterial small subunit ribosomal RNA", at positions 28 to 507 of the family's 1533-position model. The record is from RNAcentral.
GACGAACGCUGGCGGCGUGCUUAACACAUGCAAGUCGAACGGAAAGGCCCCUUUGGGGGUACUCGAGUGGCGAACGGGUGAGUAACACGUGAGUAACCUGCCCUUGACUUCGGGAUAACUUCAGGAAACUGGGGCUAAUACCGGAUAGGAAUCCUUGCUGCAUGGUGGGGGUUGGAAAGCUUCGGCGGUUUUGGAUGGACUCGCGGCCUAUCAGCUUGUUGGUGGGGUAGUGGCUUACCAAGGCUUUGGCGGGUAGCCGGCCUGAGAGGGCGACCGGCCACAUUGGGACUGAGAUACGGCCCAGACUCCUACGGGAGGCAGCAGUGGGGAAUAUUGCACAAUGGGCGGAAGCCUGAUGCAGCAACGCCGCGUGCGGGAUGACGGCCUUCGGGUUGGAAACCGCUUUCAGCAGGGGCGAAGCUUGUGGUGACGGUACCUGCAGAAGAAGCACCGGCUAACUACGUG